Molecule: ribosomal RNA, 21 nt
Filed under: Cladosporium sphaerospermum
Lineage: Eukaryota; Fungi; Ascomycota; Dothideomycetes; Cladosporiales; Cladosporiaceae
Description: partial 18S ribosomal RNA
Source: RNAcentral
AGUAAAAGUCGUAACAAGGUC